UACCUGGUGGUCCAAUGGGUGAGGACUUGGCAUUUUGACUGCUAAGGGUCCAGGUUCAAUCCCUGGUUGGGGAA
Molecule: transfer RNA, 74 nt
Filed under: Ovis aries (sheep)
Lineage: Eukaryota; Metazoa; Chordata; Mammalia; Artiodactyla; Bovidae
Rfam family: tRNA
About the family: Transfer RNA (tRNA) molecules are approximately 80 nucleotides in length. Their secondary structure includes four short double-helical elements and three loops (D, anti-codon, and T loops). Further hydrogen bonds mediate the characteristic L-shaped molecular structure. tRNAs have two regions of fundamental functional importance: the anti-codon, which is responsible for specific mRNA codon recognition, and the 3' end, to which the tRNAs corresponding amino acid is attached (by aminoacyl-tRNA synthetases). tRNAs cope with the degeneracy of the genetic code in two manners: having more than one tRNA (with a specific anti-codon) for a particular amino acid; and 'wobble' base-pairing, i.e. permitting non-standard base-pairing at the 3rd anti-codon position.
Source: Rfam by way of RNAcentral